GACGAACGCUGGCGGCGUGCCUAAUACAUGCAAGUAGAACGCACAGUUUAUACCGUAGCUUGCUACACCAUAAACUGUGAGUUGCGAACGGGUGAGUAACGCGUAGGUAACCUGCCUGGUAGCGGGGGAUAACUAUUGGAAACGAUAGCUAAUACCGCAUAAUAUUGAUUAUUGCAUGAUAAUUGAUUGAAAGAUGCUAUUGCAUCACUACCAGAUGGACCUGCGUUGUAUUAGCUAGUAGGUGAGGUAACGGCUCACCUAGGCGACGAUACAUAGCCGACCGGAGAGGGUGAUCGGCCCCACUGGGACUGGGACACGGCCCAGACUCCUACGGGAGGCAGCAGUAGGGAAUCUUCGGCAAUGGACGAAAGUCUGACCGAGCAACGCCGCGUGAGUGAAGAAGGGUGUCGGAUCGUAAAGCUCUGUUGUAAGAGAAGAACGGGUGUGAGAGUGGAAAGUUCACACUGUGACGGUAGCUUACCAGAAAGGGACGGCUAACUACGUG
Molecule: ribosomal RNA, 505 nt
Filed under: uncultured bacterium
Lineage: Bacteria
Description: partial 16S ribosomal RNA
Rfam family: Bacterial small subunit ribosomal RNA
Source: RNAcentral